GAGAGAAAAAAUACAGACAGACAGACGAACACAGACAGACAGUCGGACAGUGAAGCAGAAGUAAAAGAUGUUCACACCGAUGGUACAGCUGAGACGGGUUGCCAGCUGACCCUUCGUCCCUCGCGGUGCCUCUUCAGUAUAUUAACGGACAUGAUCCUUCAAUCCAUUCUUCUGAAGCAGUAUAUUUCCAAAAACGAAUAAUACAGCGUAAGUUUCGGGAAUUUCUCUGAGAGGAAGACAGGAAACAAAUGACUAAUCUCUCCCCAAAUCAAACGAACAUCCUGCCGUCCCUGGAGGCCUCACAGCAGCUGGCACUGCCACAGUGCCAUUCACCAGCAUACUCUCACCCACUUCAGUCACAUCCCGCCGCCACAGUCCUUCACUUCCUCAGCAAGACACAGCCCUUCAGCCACCAUGCGCUGGCCAUUCCUAAUGUUUACCCUCGCCAUCGCGCUGCUGGCCUUUACAAUGGACAGAACAGCAGCUCGCACGUUUACUUCGCGUCGGGUGUCCUUGCCUGACAACGUUCCCUGCUUGGGGAGCUGCAAGAGAAGAGACAGCAGAGGAAGAUGCCGCACGGAUUCCCUCUGCAAGCGUAGGCUCCGUCUGGUCUAAGCCAUGUGGCGGCUCCCAACGCCAUAUUAUUUGCGUUAGCUUGCUCCCAAAGCUUUGAGAGUAGACUUUUUUUUUUUUUGGGGGGGGGG
Molecule: long non-coding RNA, 704 nt
Organism: Eriocheir sinensis (Chinese mitten crab)
Lineage: Eukaryota; Metazoa; Arthropoda; Malacostraca; Decapoda; Varunidae
Exons: 2
Source: RefSeq, a predicted model, not a curated record